AUUGAACGCUGGCGGCAUGCUUUACACAUGCAAGUCGAACGGCAGCGGGGGCUUCGGCCCGCCGGCGAGUGGCGAACGGGUGAGUAAUGCAUCGGAACGUGCCCAGUCGUGGGGGAUAACACAUCGAAAGAUGUGCUAAUACCGCAUACGUCCUGAGGGAGAAAGCGGGGGAUCUUCGGACCUCGCGCGAUUGGAGCGGCCGAUGUCGGAUUAGCUAGUUGGUGGGGUAAAAGCCCACCAAGGCGACGAUCCGUAGCGGGUCUGAGAGGAUGAUCCGCCACACUGGGACUGAGACACGGCCCAGACUCCUACGGGAGGCAGCAGUGGGGAAUUUUGGACAAUGGGCGCAAGCCUGAUCCAGCCAUGCCGCGUGAGUGAAGAAGGCCUCGG
Molecule: ribosomal RNA, 390 nt
Filed under: uncultured bacterium
Lineage: Bacteria
Description: bacterial SSU rRNA
Rfam family: Bacterial small subunit ribosomal RNA
Source: RNAcentral